CGCCUCUUGACACAACAUAGGAGGUCCAGCCUGCCCAGUGACAGAGUUCAACGGCUACGGUACCCUGACCGUACGAAGGUAGCAUAAUCACUUGUUCCUUAAAUGGGGACUUGUAUCAACGGCAUCACGAGGGCUGCACUGUCUCCUUUCUUCAAUCAGUGAAACUGAUCCCCCCGUGAAGAAGCGGGGAUGAAAUUAUAAGACGAGAAGACCCCAUGGAGCUUUAAAUAAUACAGCCACACUAUAUCAAAAUAUCCUCUUACUAAAAGUCCUGACUGUAAAUUUUAGGUUGGGGAGACCGCGGAGAACAACUAAACCUCCACGACAGACGGCCUAAGCCCUUAUCCACGAAUAACACUUCUAAGAAUCAGUACUCUGAUGUUAUUGACCCGAUAUUAUUCGACUGACGAACCAAGUUACCCUGGGGAUAACAGCGCAAUCUACUUUGAGAGCCCAUAUCGACAAGUGGGUUUACGACCUCGAUGUUGG
This is a ribosomal RNA of 489 nucleotides. It matches the Rfam family "Bacterial large subunit ribosomal RNA", at positions 1829 to 2535 of the family's 2925-position model.